This 1098-nucleotide long non-coding RNA is filed under the name Salmo salar (Atlantic salmon). Its description in RNAcentral is "lncRNA (ENSSSAG00000089015.1)". Lineage: Eukaryota; Metazoa; Chordata; Actinopteri; Salmoniformes; Salmonidae. The record is from RNAcentral.
UGAAGUCCAAGCCAUUGAUGUCCAGAACUCUCUCCGCUGCAUCUUCGAUUUCAAUGCGACAGUCGAAAACCACCACUAUUUUAAGUCGUUUAGCAGACCCAUUAGCUUCAUUUUUACUCGAAAAAAAUGUGUUGUACAUCUUUUGGCACUGGCAAAGAUUUUCACAUCCCUCCAACUCUGCCAUGUUUCUUUAUGAACAAGUUCUGAGCAUCUACCGUCUGAGGUAUAAUAACAACGACAUCUACCGCAUGCCCUGAUAUGGAGAAACCAAUGCACGCGGCAAUAAGCGUCAUUGCGGUGCAUGGAGAAAAUCAAAGAAACGAAAUAAUAUGUUCAAUUAUGUUGUGCAAGCAGCUAGACAGUCACCUCCAAGGUACGCUUACGCCUUAUGGACACUCAAGAAAAUAAAAAAUGAAGACCCAAUGUUCUGAAUCAAGGAGAAAUCAAUUCACUGGCCUUCCACCAAAAGGACCUGAGCCCUAGGACCAUGCCUCAGGACUACCUGGCAUGAUGACUCCUUGCUGUCCCCAGUCCACCUGGUCGUGCUGCUGCUCCAGUUUCAACUGUUCUGCCUGCGGCUAUGGAACCCUGACCUGUUCACCGGACAUGCUACCUGUCCCAGACCUGCUGUUUUCAACUCUCUAAAGACAGCAGGAGCGGUAGAGAUACUCUCAAUGAUCGGCUAUGAAAAGCCAACUGACAUUUACUCCUGAGGUGCUGACCUGUUGCACCCUUGACAACUACUGUGAUUAUUAUUUGACCAUGCUGGUCAUUUAUGAACAUUUGAACAUCUUGGCCAUGUUCUGUUAUAAUCUUCACCUGGCACAGCCAGAAGAGGACUGGCCACCCCUCAUAGCCUGGUUCCUCACUAGGUUUCUUCCUAGGUUUUGGCCUUUCUAGGGAGUUUUUCCUAGCCACUGUGCUUCUACACCUGCAUUGCUUGCUGUUUGGGGUUUUAGGCUGGCUUUCUGUACAGCACUUUGAGAUAUCAGCUGAUGUAAGAAGGGUUAUAUAAAUACAUUUGAUUUGAUUUGUAGCUCGAACAUUACAGGAAGAAAAUACACACAUCCGAGAAAGAAAACUAAUUAAGAAAUAUCA